AGGAGGUUUGAUCCUGGGCUCAGGAUGAACGCUAGCGGCAGGCCUAAUACAUGCAAGUCGAACGGCAAGUUGAAUAGCAAUAUUUGACCUAGAGUGACGUACGGGUGCGUAACACGUAUGCAACCUACCCUUUACAGGCGGAUAGCUCGGUGAAAACCGAAUUAACCCGCCGUAGUAUAAUUGAGUGGCAUCAUUUGAUUAUUAAAACUCCGGUGGUAAAGGAUGGGCAUGCGUCUGAUUAGUUAGUUGGUAGUGUAAUGGACUACCAAGACGAUGAUCAGUAGGGGAACUGAGAGGUUGAUCCCCCACACUGGCACUGAGAUACGGGCCAGACUCCUACGGGAGGCAGCAGUAGGGAAUAUUGGUCAAUGGAUGCAAGUCUGAACCAGCCAUGCCGCGUGCAGGAAGAAGGCCUUCUGGGUUGUAAACUGCUUUUGUCAGGGGGAUAGAAUAUCCUUUGCGAGGGUAAUUGAAGGUACCUGGCGAAUAAGCCACGGUAACUACGUGCCAGCAGCCGCGGUAAUACGUAGGUGGCAAGCGUUGUCCGGAUUUAUUGGGUUUAAAGGGUGCGUAGGCGGCCUGUAAGUCAGUGGUGAAAUAUUUCAGCUCAACUGGAAUUGUGCCAUUGAUACUGCGGGGCUUGAGUACAGAUGAGGUAGGNCGGAAUUGACGGUGUAGCGGUGAAAUGCUUAGAUAUCGUCAGAACACCUAUAGCGAAGGCAGCUUACUAGGCUGUAACUGACGCUGAGGCACGAAAGUGUGGGGAUCAAACCAGGAUUAGAUACCCU
This 788-nucleotide ribosomal RNA is filed under the name uncultured Bacteroidota bacterium. Its description in RNAcentral is "bacterial SSU rRNA". It matches the Rfam family "Bacterial small subunit ribosomal RNA", at positions 1 to 788 of the family's 1533-position model. The record is from RNAcentral. Lineage: Bacteria; Pseudomonadati; Bacteroidota.